This 253-nucleotide ribosomal RNA is filed under the name uncultured bacterium. RNAcentral describes it as "partial 16S ribosomal RNA". It matches the Rfam family "Bacterial small subunit ribosomal RNA", at positions 524 to 776 of the family's 1533-position model. The record is from RNAcentral.
UACAGAGGUCUCAAGCGUUGUUCGGAUUCAUUGGGCGUAAAGGGUGCGUAGGCGGCGCGGUAAGUCGGGUGUGAAAUCUCGGAGCUUAACUCCGAAACUGCAUUCGAGACUGCAUUGCUAGAGUAUGGGAGAGGGAAGUGGAAUUUCCGGUGUAGCGGUGAAAUGCGUAGAUAUCGGAAGGAACAUCAGUGGCGAAAGCGACUUCCUGGACCAAUACUGACGCUCAUGUGCGAAAGCUAGGGGAGCGAACGGG